UGGGCUGUCGCCAAGCGGUAAAGGCACAGGACUUUGACUCCUGCAUACGAGGGUUCGAAUCCCGCCAGCCCAG
This is a transfer RNA of Clostridium sp. CAG:7, 73 nucleotides long. It matches the Rfam family "tRNA". Rfam says of the family: Transfer RNA (tRNA) molecules are approximately 80 nucleotides in length. Their secondary structure includes four short double-helical elements and three loops (D, anti-codon, and T loops). NCBI's taxonomy places the organism in Bacteria, Bacillati, Bacillota, Clostridia, Eubacteriales, Clostridiaceae. The record is from Rfam.